CUUAUCCAGAGAGGCGGAGGGACUGGCCCUGCGAAGCCCAGCAACCUGUUUUAUAAUAAGGUGCUAAUUCCAGCGAAUUAUUCGGAAGAUAAGA
RNAcentral lists this non-coding RNA (94 nucleotides) under uncultured Parvimonas sp. RNAcentral describes it as "SAM riboswitch (S box leader)". It matches the Rfam family "SAM riboswitch aptamer (S box leader)". From Rfam's summary of the family: The SAM riboswitch is found upstream of a number of genes which code for proteins involved in methionine or cysteine biosynthesis in Gram-positive bacteria. Lineage: Bacteria; Bacillati; Bacillota; Tissierellia; Tissierellales; Peptoniphilaceae. The record is from RNAcentral.